UACGGAAGGCAGCAGUGGGGAAUAUUGCACAAUGGGCGCAAGCCUGAUGCAGCCAUGCCGCGUGUAUGAAGAAGGCCUUCGGGUUGUAAAGUACUUUCAGUCGUGAGGAAGGUGUUAAGGUUAAUAACCUUAGCAAUUGACGUUAGCGACAGAAGAAGCACCGGCUAACUCCGUGCCAGCAGCCGCGGUAAUACGGAGGGUGCGAGCGUUAAUCGGAAUUACUGGGCGUAAAGGGCACGCAGGCGGUUAAUUAAGUUGGAUGUGAAAUCCCCGGGCUUAAACCUGGGAAUGGCAUUCAAGACUGGUUAGCUAGAGUCUUGUAGAGGGGGUAGAAUUCCAUGUGUAGCGGUGAAAUGCGUAGAGAUGUGGAGGAAUACCGGUGGCGAAGGCGGCCCCUGGGACAAAGACUGACGCUCAUGUGCGAAAGCGUGGGGAGCAAACAGGAUUAGAUACC
Molecule: ribosomal RNA, 454 nt
Filed under: uncultured bacterium
Lineage: Bacteria
Description: bacterial SSU rRNA
Rfam family: Bacterial small subunit ribosomal RNA
Source: RNAcentral